Molecule: long non-coding RNA, 390 nt
Organism: Mytilus californianus (California mussel)
Lineage: Eukaryota; Metazoa; Mollusca; Bivalvia; Mytilida; Mytilidae
Exons: 3
Source: RefSeq, a predicted model, not a curated record
GCGUAUGAGGCCGACAUUUCGAAUUUAUUUGCGCCAAUUUGAUUACCACGACAAGUUAACAGUUGCUCUAAGCAGUGCAAAAUGACGUCUUACCAAUAAACCCAUGUCUGAAAAAUACAUAUUGGGUAAAAAGAAUAAACAUGUCUUUGGUGGUUCAAGCUUGUUUGAAAUAAUAAGGGAUGUUGUAGUUAAGAAUGUGCAACAGAGACCACAAUAUGGAACUACUGUGCAAGAUGCCUAAAAUAUGCCCCUGAAAUAUCUGGGAAUGUGUCUAGCAGAAGGACUAAUUGUUUUAAAUAAAAUUAAGUAUUCAGUUUGUGUUUGUUUGAAAUUGUAAGAUGCAUAUGUGAGCAACUUGUUAUAUAAUUACUGUUUUAUGUCACAAACAUA